GUAACUGUAUUGAGUAAAGUAUGCAGAGCAGAGAGCAAGAGAGCAGGGUCUGUUGGUUGUUGUUUUUUCUGUUCACCAGGAGGUUGGAAAGAGCAGAUGUCCGUCUGCACUGUGAGCUGCCAAGUGGGUCCGGAGCGGGGCAGCCACAGACACAAGGGCCCAAAUGGUGUGACAAAAGAUGUGCAGGAAGCCCCUCUCCGCCUGGGUGAGCCACAGAGAGGGUCUCCCCUCUCUGCCAGCCUGCAUGGACACUCACAACAUGAGCCAGAGUGGUGGCAGCAAAGCCAUGUGUUGCCGGCUGGGAUGCAUGGUCAUGAAAUGUAAGUGAAGAGGCCCUGAAAAUGUUCCAAGCACAGGUGUGCAGCAUGGCCUGUACUGAACGGAUGCACUGAACCGUAAACAAUGAUAUAAAUGUCUGGCAAAUAAAAUGGCUAGUUAACAA
Molecule: long non-coding RNA, 442 nt
Organism: Perca flavescens (yellow perch)
Lineage: Eukaryota; Metazoa; Chordata; Actinopteri; Perciformes; Percidae
Exons: 2
Source: RefSeq, a predicted model, not a curated record